This 98-nucleotide ribosomal RNA is filed under the name Propithecus coquereli (Coquerel's sifaka). The record is from RNAcentral. Lineage: Eukaryota; Metazoa; Chordata; Mammalia; Primates; Indriidae.
CUAUGGCCAUACUACCCUGAACUCGUCUGAUCUCAGAAGCCAAGCAGGGUCGGGCCUGGUGAGUACUUGGAUGGAAGAAAAACCAGUCGCAGCCUAGU